GACAGAGGUGCCAAGCGUUAGGCGGAAUCACUGGGCUUAAAGCGUGUGUAGGCGGAUCGUUAAGUACCUUGUGAAAUCCCACGGCUUAACCGUGGAACUGCUCGGUAUACUGGCGGUCUUGAGCAACCUAGGGGCGAGCGGAACAAAUGGUGGAGCGGUGAAAUGCGUAGAUAUCAUUUGGAACGCCAAUGGUGAAAACAGCUCGCUGGGGGUUUGCUGACGCUGAGACACGAAAGCGUGGGUAGCAAACAGG
RNAcentral lists this ribosomal RNA (253 nucleotides) under uncultured bacterium. RNAcentral describes it as "partial 16S ribosomal RNA". It matches the Rfam family "Bacterial small subunit ribosomal RNA", at positions 524 to 776 of the family's 1533-position model. The record is from RNAcentral.